UACGUAGGGGGCAAGCGUUGUCCGGAAUCAUUGGGCGUAAAGAGCGUGUAGGCGGCCAGAUAAGUCCGCUGUGAAAUCUCGAGGCUCAACUUCGAGCUGUCGGUGGAAACUGUCUGGCUAGAGUCCGGAAGAGGAGAAUGGAAUUCCUGGUGUAGCGGUGAAAUGCGCAGAUAUCAGGAAGAACACCCGUGGCGAAGGCGGAUCUCUGGGACGGUACUGACGCUGAGACGCGAAAGCGUGGGGAGCGAACAGG
This 253-nucleotide ribosomal RNA is filed under the name uncultured bacterium. RNAcentral's name for it is "partial 16S ribosomal RNA". It matches the Rfam family "Bacterial small subunit ribosomal RNA", at positions 524 to 776 of the family's 1533-position model. The record is from RNAcentral.